UGAAAGGGAUGCAAAACCCACCCCCUACUU
RNAcentral lists this non-coding RNA (30 nucleotides) under Rattus norvegicus (Norway rat). Lineage: Eukaryota; Metazoa; Chordata; Mammalia; Rodentia; Muridae. The record is from RNAcentral.